CAGUCGCCGCGGGAAUACGAAGGGGGCUAGCGUUGCUCGGAAUGACUGGGCGUAAAGGGCGCGUAGGCGGCGAUCAAAGUCAGGCGUGAAAUUCCUGGGCUCAACCUGGGGGCUGCGCUUGAUACUUGGUUGCUUGAGUGGGGAAGAGGGUCGUGGAAUUCCCAGUGUAGAGGUGAAAUUCGUAGAUAUGCGGAGGAACACCGAUGGCGAAGGCAAUCCCCUGGACCUGUACUGACGCUCAUGCACGAAAGCGUGGGGAGCAAACAGGAUUAGAUACCCGCGUAGUCCCUGUCUCUUAUAC
Molecule: ribosomal RNA, 301 nt
Filed under: uncultured bacterium
Lineage: Bacteria
Description: partial 16S ribosomal RNA
Rfam family: Bacterial small subunit ribosomal RNA
Source: RNAcentral